CCCUUAGAUGUUCUGGGCUGCACGCGCGCUACACUGAAGAUAUCAACACGUUUUCCCUCCCUGAGAAGGGCGGGUAACCUUUUGAAUCAGCUUCGUGGUAGGGAUCGGGGCUUGCAAUUGUUCCCCGUGAACCAGGAAUUCCUAGUAGACGCGAGUCAUAAGCUCGCAUCGAUUAAGUCCCUGCCCUUUGUACACACCGCCCGUCGCUACUACCGAUUGAACGUUUUAGUGAGGCAUUUGGACCGACGCAUCUCAGUUUAACCGCUGGUUUGUGUUGGAAAGACUUCCAAACUUGAGCGUUUAGAGGAAGUAAAAGUCGUAACA
RNAcentral lists this ribosomal RNA (324 nucleotides) under uncultured eukaryote. RNAcentral describes it as "partial 18S ribosomal RNA". It matches the Rfam family "Eukaryotic small subunit ribosomal RNA", at positions 1470 to 1796 of the family's 1831-position model. The record is from RNAcentral.